UACGUAGGUGGCAAGCGUUGUCCGGAUUUACUGGGCGUAAAGGAUGCGUAGGCGGAUAUGUAAGUCAGAUGUGAAAUACCCGAGCUUAACUUGGGUGCUGCAUUUCAAACUGGAUAUCUAGAGUGCAGGAGAGGAAAGCGGAAUUCCUAGUGUAGCGGUGAGAUGCGUAGAGAUUAGGAAGAACACCAGUGGCGAAGGCGGCUUUCUGGACUGUAACUGACGCUGAGGCAUGAAAGCGUGGGGAGCAAAC
RNAcentral lists this ribosomal RNA (250 nucleotides) under uncultured bacterium. RNAcentral describes it as "partial 16S ribosomal RNA". It matches the Rfam family "Bacterial small subunit ribosomal RNA", at positions 524 to 773 of the family's 1533-position model. The record is from RNAcentral.